ACAAACUUGGUCAUUUAGAGGAAGUAAAAGUCGUAACAAGGUUUCCGUAGGUGAACCUGCGGAAGGAUCAUUAUUGUAUAAACUUAAUGGAUUGUUGCUGACUCUAUGAGUAUGUGCACGUCUGUUAUUUUUAUUUUUCCACCAUGUGCACUAUGCAUAGUUCUGAAUAGUUGUAAUCGAGUUUACUUGGUUGUUGAGGAUUGCUAUUAUUAUAAUAGCUUUCCUUGUGUUCAGAUUCUAUGUCUUUUUAUUUACUCCAAUGUAUGUAUAUGAACGUUAUUAUAGGCUUUCCAAAAGCCAUAACCUAUAAUACAACUUUCAGCAACGGAUCUCUUGGCUCUCGCAUCGAUGAAGAACGCAGC
RNAcentral lists this unclassified non-coding RNA (362 nucleotides) under uncultured fungus. RNAcentral describes it as "partial contains small subunit ribosomal RNA, internal transcribed spacer 1, and 5.8S ribosomal RNA". The stretch from base 1 to 73 matches the Rfam family "Eukaryotic small subunit ribosomal RNA", at positions 1759 to 1831 of the family's 1831-position model. The record is from RNAcentral. Lineage: Eukaryota; Fungi.